UUGAUCUCAUUUCUCAAAAUAAUCUCAUUGACCUUCCUCUUCAUGCCAGAUAUAUGCUUCGAGAAAUGAUCAAGCUGAACUGGUGAUAUGUCAUAUGAAUAGGGUCCCGAUUUCUCUGAAUCUUGAAUAUGGGGGGAUUAUGUCUGUUCUUUCUAGCCUAUGUCUGAUCAUGAGCUGAUUUGUUUGGAAUUGUUUGGUAUUUCAAUUGGUUCUUCCCCUUUUUGUUUACACAACUGGUGGCUAGUUCGGGAGGGAUUAUAGUGAAUGGGUGGUGGAAAGAAUGUGGAGUGGAAGGUUGGGCUAGAUAUCGGUUUAUGAAGAAGCUCCAAUAUAUCAAAGAUAAGCUAAAAGUCUGGAAUAAAGAAAUGUUUGGGCAAGAUAUAUUAAGAAAAGGAGAACUUUCAAGCUGUGAUUGGGUGUUUGGAUAGGAAGGGAGACACAUGCAUCUUGGAUGAGGCAUAAAGGGAGGAGAGAGAAGGCCUUGAAUUCGAUUACCUCUCCAUGCUUGUUAAUGAGUCUCCAUGUGGUUUCUUUUCAAGCUUUAGAGGUUUGAGGCAAGGACACCCUCUUUCUCCUUUUCUUUUCGCCAUUGUUGCAGAAAGUUAUAGUAUAUUGUUGAGUAGGGCUUCUGGAAUUUGUUUCAUAAAGGGCUUCACAGUUUGGCAACCUGAAGUUGUGAUUAAUCAUCUUUAAUUCACUGAUGAUAUGCUCAUUACGUGUGACUCUGCCAUUAAUCAGGUGAUUAGUUUGAAAAGGAUUCUCAUAUUUUUGGCAGUUGUGUUUGGACUCAAAGUUAAUGAGAGGGAAGUUGCUAUGGUAGGGGUGGCAAGUUUUGGGGGAAAUGUUCAAAUUCUUGCUGAGCAAAUGGAGCAUUGAAGGGUCUCACUUCUGAUGAAGUACCUUUGUCUCUCAUUAUGAGGGAAAGCCUCCACUCCUUCCUUUUGGAUCCUAUCAUGGAUAGGAUUGAGAAGAGAUUAUUUGGGUGGAAGAAAUUUUAUCUUUACUUGGGUGGGAGAUAACUUUAUCUAAUUGGCCCUUGUUAAUCACCCGUGUGUAUUUCAUGUCCUUGUUCAUGAUGCUGGGUAAGGUUGUUAGGAGAAUUGAGAAGCUUCAUAUAAUUUUUUUUGUUGGACGAGAAGGGAGAUGGGCCCAAAUUCCUCUUAGUUAAAUGGGAAGAUGUUCAAAAGCCUAAAGGAGGAGGUAAUGGAAUCGAAAACAAUUAGAUAAAAGAAUGCGGCUCAUCUUUGGAACUUGUGGUGGAAGUUUGGGGAGGAACAUUAAGUGCUAUGGAGGAAUGUCAUCUCGGUCACAAAUGUGGUGAAUCUGAUGGGGGUUGGAUCCCAGACUUCCUAAUAGAAAUGGAGGGUUAGAUGUUCGGAAAGGCAAAUUUCUUUUGCGGCAUCCAUUCGUUGUUGAUGGUUUGAAUCCUUAUGCCAGAGCCAGUGUUUCCUAUUAGAAAGGUGCUCGAUUUAUGGUUCGUAAAGACUGGUUGAGCUUCUAGAGUGACGUUUGGAUUGCAGAUUCCUCCUUUGCUACUUUUUCCUAUUCUUGUUUAGUUUAUCCGUGGGUAAAGAUGACAAAGGACGAUAAAAAAUUGGUUCUCAUAAUCAAUUCAGCAUAAGGUACUAUAAAAUAUCCAAGCUAGAAAUGCCAAGGAAUAUAAAGAAUUAGUUUUCAUUUUGUAGUAAGACUCUGGACAUUAGGAGAUCACCAACUGCUCUAAGGACUGUUUAACUGUAAUUUGGAGCAUGAACAAAAAAAAAAGGCACUGAAAUGAAAGUGGUUUCAAAUCUAGGUUCUGAAAUAUCCACACGUCUGGUGAUCCUAUUAAGGUAAGCUAUGUGUGACCCUAUUAACAGCUGAAUUCUUACCUAAUUUUAGAAUUAGAAUAACACAUUAUUUUAUUGAGAGUAUUUUUGGUUUCUAUGUUUCAUCAAAAUGCUAUUUUGGCAUUUCAGGCAACCAACGUCAGUUUCUUUUUGAAAAAAAAAGUUAAAAAGGUCGUAAAACCAAGAGAAUAUGACUCUUUUGACACCAGUUGAUGAGAACUUUUCUCUUUACCAAACUCAGACUAAAACAAGUUACACAACAUGAUUCUCGUGGGUAGAGAACAACACCAAAUUGAAUGGCAUGCUUCCUUCCCAUCACCAUGCAAUGCAUCAUUCUUACCGACUCAUGCUACUAUAAAUGUAACACACCCCUAUGCUUUUGCCUCACUGCUCGGCUUAGAUACAAUAUCUGAUUUCUUACUUUUGGGUGAAGCUAUAGUGGAACCAAGAAAUACAAAAUAGUUUGAAGUAGAUCGUCCAAUACCUGCACGUUUAGCAGCUCCUUUAGGUUCAGAGUAAGCUGUCAAGUAGAGGCUGUAGGAUAAGUCACGAUAUGUUCCAUACUUCAUUGUGUCACAGUCAAGUAUCUAGGCUCUCCAUUAGCCUUCAUUGGAACAUCUCUCAUCCAAUAUUUUCAUUAUCGACGAUGUCGGCGGAUAUAUCCUACGAUAUAUCUAGUAUUGUUUUAAUAUUGUUUUCGUAUUGCAUGAUAUAUCUAAAUACCACAGUUAUCACGAAAUAUUGCGACUAGUCCUUUACAAAAAAUACUUUAUAUCAGCAAUAUCUAUCAAUAUUGACAUAUUUCACAUGAACAUGUUGGAAGUCUGGGUUUCAGGGCAGAAAAAUUGAAAAAAAUCCAUCUACAUCUCUUUUUUUAAAGAUUUUUUUUUUUUCUCCUCUCCAAUUCUAAAUAGACCUAUUGUGGAUUUUGAUCCAUCCUUAUGAAUACGUUUGAAGAAAAAUACCAAUUUCGAGUCGAAAUCAAGAUCCAAGUCAAUUUGGGGCUGUUUUCUACCAUUUUUUCUUCUAUAAAUCAUAUUAAAAUAGUGUCAAAUGGUUACAAAUCUAUGAUUCUUCAUGCUUUGCAUGAAAAAUCAUGGAUUUGGGAAUUUGAUUGAUAAAAAGAAAUCAUGGAUUUGGAGCUUCAAUUUCGAGAAUUUGGAGAUGGGUUGAGUUGUAAAAAUUUGGGAAAAAUUGAAAUUUCCUAAUUUCUUUCAAAUCGGUUGCAAUCUUUGUGUCCAAACACAAAUCAAACAUGUAGGUAGCCAGAUCUGAUUCUUGGUAAUUUAGGAAUUUUUCGAAGCAAAAAUUUUUUUUAAUUAAAAAUGUUAAAUUUUUUUUUUUCAAAAUUCCAUUUCGAUCGGCAGUCAUUUGGCCCCCAUUUAAGGGUAUUCAGGAGUGUCUGAUGGAAUCAUCAUCACAUACACUCUAAUUUUGGGAUUUGGUAGAAGAUGGACCGAUUUGUAAAAAUUUUAAAUUUCCCCAAAAUUUCCCAAAUCAGCUGCAAUCUUACUGUCCAAACAUGAGGUCAAACAUGUCUGUAACCUAAUCUAGUGAUUCUUGGCAAUUUGGUGAUUUCUCGAUUUAAAAAAAAAAAAAAUUAAAAAAUGUUAGAAAAUAAUAUCUUUUCAAAAUUCCACUUCGACCAGUGGUCAAUUAGCUCCCAUUUCAGAGUAUUUAGGAGCGUUUAAUGAGAUCAUUGUUACAUACACACUCUAAUUUUGGGAUUUUGGGGAAGAUGAGUUGAUUUGUGGAAAAUUAGGAAAAAUUUGAAAAUUUCCUAAAAUUUCUCAAAUAGGAGAGGAUGAGCACCAGCGUUAUGUUAGAGAAUAACUUCACCGGUAUCAUUUUACUAUGACUUGGGCACAGUAUUGUAGGUUUGUGGAACAACAGUACUAUGCCCAUCCUCAUCGAGAUGGAGAUGUUGAUUUAGAGCUACCACGUAGCUCUAUGUAGGUCUUAGCCAUAACCACACAUUUUUCAUUGGCAUAUUGACGUAGGACCGAUGCAUGAACCAAAUAACAUGUGAGAUUAAGUAGCAGAAUUAAUACAAUUAACAAAAAAACACAAACAUUACCAUAAUCAUCACGAAUACCAUGAAAACAAAAAGAACAUCAUACAUAAUCCUAACCUAAGUUAUCAACAUCGAAACACAAGAUCAUUAAAUAAAAGAAAACUAGGAUCUAAUGGAUGUAGGGACAUUCAAUUAGUAUAAGGUAUAGUCUAUUUCAAAGUAGAGGGCCUAAUACAACAUAUGGUAAAAUUAGGGUUUUAGGAAAUUGAGAAAAAUCUAGGAAAGUUAAGGAUUUCUAGAUUUAGGGUUAGGGUUUUGGUAGAGAGAAAAUGGGGUUUUGAUUUAAGGGUGAAAGGAAGCCAAAAAGGAUAAGGUGCAGCUGUAUGGCCAACCCGGAAGGUUCACACGUUUGGCUGUACAGUCACACAUGUGGCGUAGGAUGGAUGGGUUAGGUCUCUUAGGGUUUGGGAUUGUAGAUAGGUAAAAGAAAGAUGUGUUUAGGAGAAGAUGAAUGCUUAGGAUGGGAGAAUCAAAGAAAUUGAAAAAAAUAACUUCAUGGAGGGGAAAUGAGAUGAUGAUGUGGGAAUAGAUGGAGACUUCGCACCUCCGUUGAUGAAGAUUAGCCUUACACGAAUCUCCCUUCCAAAUCACAUUUAAGUACUUCAAAUCUCAUGAAGAUGUAAGGAGAAGAGGAAAGCAAUAGCUUUUUUUCUCUCUCAAUUUUUUUAAUCACAAAAUCCAAUGAGGGAGAGUGUCAUACGCCCACCCUCUUUUAUAGCUCCAAGAAAGUUAAAAAAUUACAAUAAACACCUUGUUUUGUAAAUUUUGAUAAAAAUAAUUCUAGUCUAAUUAAAAUCAACUAAAAACACUCAUAAUGGUGUCCAAACAUGACAUAACCAAAACUAAAUCCUAUAAGCUAAUAAAUUCUAAGAAAAACUAGUGUGGACGAUCCACGAUUAAUGGCCCGAUGAUGUGAUCCAACGGCCCAAUCGUCACAUCCCUCCAAUCCAAUGGUCUGGAUCACUCCACAAAGCAUCCCAUGCACAUCUUCCCAGUGUGGGGUCUUUUAGAUGCUCGCAUAUGCACAUGGGGUCUUCAGCACGAUCACGGGUACUCGGCGAGCUACAAGAAAAUCGGUGCGGUCUGCUUCCUCCUCUGAUAUGUACACAAAGGUGCAUGUGAAGUGAUGUCCUCAUCACAUGUCUAGUUUUCUAUUUCUUCUUUUGUUUUUGAAUGCAUUGCUUGUGUUUCUAUACACGUGUUCUUACAUUUAUAAAUUAUAUGAAUUGACUUUGAAUAUAAUUGCAUCAGUUCAAUCGGACAACACAUAGAUUAAGACCCCAUACAAAGGGAACCUAUUAUUUUCUGAUGUUUUCAUUUAUAACUGUGUAUUGAUGUCUUUUUUAACAAUCUUUGAAGUUUCAUUGAAAAAUUCGACCAAUUUACCAAUGUUUCCUCAUGUUUUCCAACAACAACAAUAUAUUAUGCGAUACAACUGAUAUAUCCCAUGCGAUAACCAAUAUAUAUGUUGGCACAUGUGUGCAUGCAUGUAAUUGUGGCCACAUGGCCCACUUUGUUAUCCACGAAAAGGUAGCUGAACAAGUCUCCUGCACAACUUGUUGUGUAGGAGAACUAAUGGAAUGUGGUUAGUUUCUCCAUGGCAAUGGGGCAAUGGGCAUAAAGCCUCAACGGUAAUGUAUCCUAUGUGGAUAUAAAUACCGUAAUAACAUGAUACAAGAUUUGUAACAAUAAGAUGGGAAUGUUCAAGUAAAACUCUGGUGUGACGGUAAAAACUGUAUGCCGCGGCGAUCCAGUGACCAACGUCUCAUAAAGCCUCUUUUGACCGUUUAGCUUCACACCGGCUUCUUUCAAUGACGCUCUCCACCGAUCAUUAACAGUGCAACCUUCAAUGUAUCCAUAUCCCAAGGAUGUGAUACAUUAGGCGAUAACGAUACGGAAAACAUUGUUGCCAUCUAUGUAUUUACUUCACAUUUACUUUUAAGGAAGCAUAGUUGAUGAGGACAUCACAUCACGUACACCUUUGUGUAUGUAUUAGAAGAGGAGGCAGGCCACCCCGAUUUCUCUAUGGUUAGGAUAUCUUCCAUGUGACUUGGAAGGAAGAUCGGUGCGAAGCCUAUCUUCAUCAACGGAAGUGCGAGGCUUCCUUCUAUCCCCUCAUUCAUAUCUCUUCAUCAAUAAUCGAGGUAUUUUUUCAAGUUUCUUCUUUCAUUAUUUCUCCUUUAUCCAAAAUCCAUCAACAACCUUCCGAUUCUCCUCCUUUACACCUUUCUCGACAAGCCAAACAUUUAAAAACCCAAAACCAAACCCUACCUAGACAACACGUGUGAUCGUAUAGCCACACGUGUGAACCCAUAGGGUUGGCCAUACGGUCCCACCCCUUGUCCCUUUGGCCUUCCACUACCCCUACAAACCUUAAUUCCCUUCUCAUAAUACCUAAAUCCUUUAACUCCUUUAUUCAAUUCCCCACUUUAACCUUAAUUUCACCCUUUUCCCCAAACUUUCCUAACCCUAGCUUCAACCACACCUUAAUCUAGUAAACGCUGGGUGGUAUUAGACCUUCCUCUUUAAACUAGGUCUAACCCUAUGCUAUUUGGAUGUUUCUACAUGUAGAUCCUAGUUUCUCAUGUUAAAUGGUCUUGUAGGAUGAUGCUUGGCAACAUAGGCUUGAACUAUGCAUGGUUUCCUUUUUAGAGUCUUGAUAUUUGUGAUGAUGGUAGCAAGAUUUAUAGUUUUCAUUAAUUAAUUUAAUUUUGCUGAUUGAUUUCGCACAUUAUUUGAGUUCAUGCGUUGUUCCUACAUCAAUAGUCUUUCAGUUAGUGAGUGUAGCUUUUUUUUUUUUUUUUUCACACUCACACACACCCCACACAUACACCCACACACUCAUGCCGUAGUGGGAUUUCACCACCUAAGGGUACUCAAACCCUUGACCUGGUGUUGAAACUCUUGCGAGUGUACCACUGGGGCACGAGUAAGGAACUUAGUGAGUGUAGCUUGAGAAAUCAAAUUAUGAGCAUAUUUGUUCUAUAGUAGUAUGCAUCCUUUUUCUUUUCUUUUUUUUUUUUUGGAAAUUACUAAGUGAAAACAAUUAGUGGAAAACAAAUGUCUACCAUGCAUUCACAUCAAAUUGUGUUUGUAGAUUACCAUGCCUUCACAUUAAAUUAUGUUUGUAGAUAUAGUUCAAGAAAUGCUUAUUCAUUCCAAGUUCUUUUCAUGUGCAUAUACUGUAUUGAUGUAACUUUCCAUUCAUACAAUGGAAUUUUCACCUGAUGCCGACAUGAUCUUUUUGGGUGGCUGUUUAUUGAAAUUCACGUG
Magnolia sinica is the source of this 7176-nucleotide long non-coding RNA. RefSeq lists it as uncharacterized. The record is from RefSeq and is a predicted model, not a curated record. The transcript is spliced from 3 exons. NCBI's taxonomy places the organism in Eukaryota, Viridiplantae, Streptophyta, Magnoliopsida, Magnoliales, Magnoliaceae.